Molecule: long non-coding RNA, 2371 nt
Filed under: Nicotiana tabacum (common tobacco)
Lineage: Eukaryota; Viridiplantae; Streptophyta; Magnoliopsida; Solanales; Solanaceae
Description: long non-coding RNA (NTAB_LNC006801)
Source: RNAcentral
UAACUUGACUUAAUGAACAAUUCAACAAGCUCUUUUGAUUAUUUAAGAGAAUCACUGAAUUAAACCAAAUAAAAUAAUGCAAGAUAAUCACCACAAUAUUCCAGGUGCGACUGUGUAAAAUUUCCAGAGUAAUUUUUUUUCUUCAAUUUUUGAUAUCUACACUCAGCUCUCGACCCCUAAACGUGAUCCGAUUUAAUUUCUUAAACUUUUACUCAGACUUCAAAGCUCCAAAUCAUUCAAUCUAGCUCCAAUUAUCUUUUUAACUCAGAAUCACUUCCUGUAAGGCAAUAAGAUACGUAAUAAGUGUAACUCACACAUGUAAAAUGCAGUAAUUAGAGUGCAAACUAUGACUAAAGCACGAGUUUCUAGCAUACCAUCAUCACUCAUGGCAAGAGAAUCCAGAAAGUAACAGAAGAUGAUGAAAUCACCUUCACGGAGGAAUGUCACACCUCCUUUUUCCUACACCCGAAAAGGGUAUAAGAGAGUUUUUUCCAAUUUAAGUGACAAUCGAAACGGGAUUUAUUUAAGAAUCAGAGUCGCCACUUGGGAUAAUUUAUGGUGUCCCAUGUCACCGAUUUAGAAUCCCGAAUCGAGGAAAGAUUGACUCUGUUUUAUAGUCCGCGAACACAGAAAUCCGGGUAAGGAAUUCUGUUAACCGGGGAGAAAGUGUUAGGCAUUCCCGGGUUCCUUGGUUCUAGCAUGGUCGCUUAACUAUUAUUCUUGGCUUAAUUAUCUGCUUUUAAACACUUUUAAACCUAUGUGCAUUUUUAACUUUAAAACCGCUUUUAAUAAUCCAAUUAUUAUACAACCAGUUAUUUUAAUUAAACGUUGUGAAUCAUGUCACGAGAACCGUACCUACGAUCCACAACAUGUUUAUUUUAUUAACAAGAUUAAAUUGUGGCCGGGUCACAUAAAUGUACCCCCCGGAUUUUUAGAAAUUAGGUGUCACGACCAUGUCAUGGGAACCGUACCCGUCGCUAUGACAAUUUAUUUAAUUAAACGCGCCUAAAACAAACUACGAGAGUUCAAGACAUUUUCUACACUAGUUAAGAUAUCGAUGUGAGGGCCAUAGACUAGGUGAUUGGAUGACACACCUCAAAUUUAUAAAAGAAAAAAAAUUUAACUAAGCAAUCAGAAAAUUUAAAAGCCCUUUCUUUUACAAGAGUACACGGGUGUAUAUCCCAUAACUUAAAAAACCAAACGAUCAAAUAUGAUAAAUAUCACAUGAAGCUAAUUAACAAAUGAAACAUAUCACAUUCUACCAAAAAACAACGAGAUGGUAACUCGGCAAGCAGAAAUUUACAACUACAAAGAUCAAACAAAUCCAUUUGAAAGAAGUCUCAAACAUAUUAAACAUAAACAACAAGAACACCAAGCAAUCACACAGCAAUAAGCAAUAUAUCAAAUAUUAAGCAUGAUAUUAAGAGAAAUCACACAGUGAGCCUUUAGGAAGCAUUGUAUGAACCGGACCUUACAGGAUUUUCACCAAGACAUAAAUCUGGAUCCAAUUUUGGACUGCAAACGGAACCUCGCCAAACUACCUCGAUCUCGACAGUAUCUAGGUCACGAUUUCAAAAGAUAUUGAAUGGACGAUAACUGAAAAGCCAAGCGAAUCUUGAAACCAGAUUCAAGUUCCUCUCGUGCUCACAAAACACCACUGGUUCACUGCUAUCCUUUUCUUGUUUCUGUGCGUGUUUGUGUCUAUAUGUGUGGGUGUUUUCCGGAAAGCUAUGGUACGGAGAAGGAGGAGAAACAAUGGAUGUUAGAGAAUGGUCGAGAUCCGGUCGGCUGCUUAAGGUCGUUCGCGUUUUUCCGGUGAGCUGGUGAGAUCGAGUGAAAAGGAAAGGUCAUUGCUGUUGUUGAGUGCUGGCGUGAGGAGGAGGACAGGUAGAGGUUGUUUUGGUUGGUAAAGGUUUAGAGUCGCUGGUUAUUGUGUUCGACGUGAGGGGUAGUCAUUUUCCGGUGAUGGUAAGCUGAAGGGUGGUCGUCGAUGGAGCUGGUGGACGUUGGUUACUGGUUUUUGGCUGGUCGUUGGGAUGAUUGGAAAUGGGCUGGUUGUUGUGAUGUUCAGGGGUGUGGUUAAUAAGAAGCCAUUUAAAUGGCUCUUCUCUGAAGAAGGAUCUCCAUCGAUGAGGAGGGGUAUGUGAAGGAGGCGAAGCUUCAGGGGGGAAGGGCGGGUUCUUUUCUAAAAAUCAGCAGCUCCUCAUUCUUAGGAGUCUAGGUCUGAUUUUUUUUCUCUUUUCAGCUCCUCCUCUUAGCUCUAGGGGUCUAGACAUUUGUAGGGUUUUCUAGGUUAAGGGGUAUGAGCCUAGGAAUUAUGAGCUUGAAAAUUAUGUGCCUUUAAGACUAGCUAUGCUUAAAAUUAGCUUAA